Long non-coding RNA from Micropterus salmoides (largemouth bass), 1080 nucleotides. RefSeq lists it as uncharacterized. Lineage: Eukaryota; Metazoa; Chordata; Actinopteri; Centrarchiformes; Centrarchidae. The record is from RefSeq and is a predicted model, not a curated record. The transcript is spliced from 3 exons.
GAUGAUGAGAUGUUCGACCUCAUCACGCUACCAUCUGAAAAUGACAACCUGUUAACUGGAAAAAGGCACACAGUCAACAAAGCCAGGGAGAAAAUUAUUCAGAAGAUGGACCUCCAAGAUGUUUUCACGCCCACACAAGUGGCCAAGAAGUGGGACAACCUCAAAAGAAAAUAUGCGGUUGAGAUGCCCACCAACUGGGAUGGGGACUGACAGCUACAUGGCCAUAUUUUGGUGACAUGCAUGAGGCCAUCCAUUGAGCUCUCACCCUUAUGGACUCAGCUGGCGUGGUUGCUGAGGCCUCUGGUGAUGGCUCAGGAUCUACUGAGGCUGCCCCGAGCCAGGAGAUGGAGGAUGAGGAGGCCACUGAUUCUGGCUCAGACAGCUAUAUGGUGGCUGCGGAGUCAUCCACCUCUUCGGUCCCCCUCCCCGCAAGAAGCGCAAGAGCCCUAGGUCUAGUAAAAAAAGUCACUUAUCAUAUGUGGCAGUUGGCAAUGAUAGCCUACUGUGGCAGGCCGACACAAACAAAUCAAUGUAUAGGAAACACUGACUGAGUGAUGACGUAAACAUGCUUCGGCUUGGAUCGUUAGGCACUAGCGUGAGCGCAGGCCAGCGGGGGAGUUGGGAGGGGGGACAAUCGUGCUCAGACACGGUACAAGGCAACCGGGCCUAGUGUGAGAACACCCUAAAUUCACAGUCACAUCAGAGGUGAUUAUGGUCAUAUUAAACCUGAACAUCAGCACCUUGGGAUUUUCACACCCUUUGUAGUACAGGCCACUGGUCUUAUGCCACUCAUCACUUGUUUUUGCCAACUUGUCGUAACGUACUCUCUCGGCCAGAAAACUACUUUUGUCUUUUGUACUCUUAAGUACCUUUGCGUAAGUACUUAUUAUGUCUCUGCUCUUCAGAGCCUUGCCUCCAGUGCCAAUCUUCACUCAAUGUCGUAUUACUCAGACCACAACAAACCCACUACACCUCCUCAGUCUGCCUGCCGGCCUUCAGCCAUUGUCAGCCAUGCCCGUCCUUGCUGCCUCAUGUGCCUUGUGUGUUCAUUAAAAUUUUUCCAAACUGCUGUUUUUGAAA